GUAAAUAUUCAGGGGAGCUUGUGAGCAGGCUGAGAGGAAGUGAUUAAGCUUCGACCCUUAUAACCUGAUUUGGAUAAUACCAGCGUAGGGACGAAACAUUUAAAUUGUG
Molecule: non-coding RNA, 109 nt
Filed under: Acetobacterium bakii
Lineage: Bacteria; Bacillati; Bacillota; Clostridia; Eubacteriales; Eubacteriaceae
Description: TPP sequence
Rfam family: TPP riboswitch aptamer (THI element)
About the family: Vitamin B(1) in its active form thiamin pyrophosphate (TPP) is an essential coenzyme that is synthesised by coupling of pyrimidine and thiazole moieties in bacteria. The previously detected thiamin-regulatory element, thi box was extended, resulting in a new, highly conserved RNA secondary structure, the THI element, which is widely distributed in eubacteria and also occurs in some archaea.
Source: Rfam by way of RNAcentral